AUUGAACGCUGGCGGAAUGCUUUACACAUGCAAGUCGAACGAUGAACCUUAGCUUGCUAAGGGGAUUAGUGGCGAACGGGUGAGUAAUGUAUCGGAACGUAUCCAAUAAUGGGGGAUAACUAGUCGAAAGAUUAGCUAAUACCGCAUACGUCCUACGGGAGAAAGCUAGGGACCUUCGGGCCUGGCGUUAAUGGAGCGGCCGAUAUCUGAUUAGCUAGUUGGUGGGGUAAAGGCUCACCAAGGCGACGAUCAGUAGCUGGUCUGAGAGGACGACCAGCCACACUGGAACCGAGACACGGUCCAGACUCCUACGGGAGGUAGCAGUGGGGAAUUUUGGACAAUGGGCGAAAGCCUGAUCCAGCCAUUCCGCGUGAGUGAAGAAGGCCUUCGGGUUGUAAAGCUCUUUCGCAAGGGAAGAAAACUUAAGCUCUAACAUAGCUUGAGGUUGACGGUACCUUGAUAAGAAGCACCGGCUAACUACGUGCCAGCAGCCGCAGUAA
RNAcentral lists this ribosomal RNA (500 nucleotides) under uncultured bacterium. RNAcentral describes it as "partial 16S ribosomal RNA". It matches the Rfam family "Bacterial small subunit ribosomal RNA", at positions 30 to 523 of the family's 1533-position model. The record is from RNAcentral.